AGUUAAUGAACUUGAAUAAGUAUAUGAUUUGAAAUCAUUCCAUAGAAAUAAAAUUUUCUAUUAACUU
This 67-nucleotide transfer RNA is filed under the name Bombus asiaticus. Its description in RNAcentral is "tRNA-Ser". The record is from RNAcentral. Lineage: Eukaryota; Metazoa; Arthropoda; Insecta; Hymenoptera; Apidae.